Long non-coding RNA from Magnolia sinica, 958 nucleotides. RefSeq lists it as uncharacterized. The record is from RefSeq and is a predicted model, not a curated record. The transcript is spliced from 3 exons. Lineage: Eukaryota; Viridiplantae; Streptophyta; Magnoliopsida; Magnoliales; Magnoliaceae.
AUCCACCAAGAAGAGUCAUGUUGAUGAUCCCAUUGAUAGUGAGCGAAGAGAGAGUAAAGAAGCUAUGCUUCAUGCAUGAACCUCUUAUGAGAAGUAUGCCUGGGGUCAAGAUGAACUUCAGGUCCAAUAUGCCUCACAUCAUAUCAGUUUUUGGGCCUAACCUAUAUGUUCCACGACAUCGAUAUUCAGAACCUUUCCUUGAAAUCCCUUAUAGAACCUGCCAGUCUAACCAUUUCCAUCAUUUUACUUAGAGCCUCAACUACCACCACAAGGAGGAAAGGAGAUGAAGGAUCCCCUUGCUUAGACCCUGGAACGCCCAAAGUAUCCUUUUGAUGAUGGACCUUUAUGAAAUUACAUCUAAAAACCUAAAACUUUGUUGAAUUUAUGGGCUUUUCAUUUCCCUUUUUAAUCUACUUAUAGAAUUAGCAUCUUUUUGUAAUGUUCCCUCUGUUACAUGUCCUACAUUGCAGUACUACUUUCUAUAUUAAUAGUUGUGAUUAACUAUACAUUUUUAUUGACGGAUGCAGCUGUUUUUUUUUUUUUUUUCUGGCUUGACUUACCCUGGUCUGUCUUGGCUCUUGAUUCAGUUCUAGUUCUGAACUUCUAAAAUAUGGAAGUGAGCUACAGCUCAAGGUUACUGAUGUUUAGCUUUCUCCAAGCACCGAUGAUGUUUUUACUUUUUACUGCAAAAACUAUUGUUCUUUUACCAUUCAUGUAAAGCCUGACGCAGCCAAUAUGUUAUGUACUUCUUGUCUCAGCCAUUGACAAAGGAUGGCGUUAAAAGCUUUAGUGGUCUGGGAGCAACCUUAGUGGAUUCUCUUGAUGCAUUGUACAUUAUGGGUCUACACCAGCAGUUCCAAAAAGCCAGAGAGUGGGUUGCAAAUUCAUUGGAUUUCAACAAGGAUUAUGAGGCUAGCAUUUUUUAGACAACCAUAAGGUUGCAUUAUAUGGUUUGAUU